CAUUAAUUUAAAUGAAUCAUAGACAGGUGAAGACAGAACAAGAAAACAAACCAAGAAUUUCCCCUCACCAGCCACCAGCUCUGCCAGCAACUUGAUCUUAGACUUCCCAGCCUCCGUAACGCCUCUGCUUAUAAUCUGUCAUGGAUUGGAAAACUAGAAAAAACAGUUUACAGAGUAUAACAAACUUUGGAGGAGUUAAUCGACUCUAAGUAAAAGAGUAUCUAGCACGGCUGUGGAACAAAGGAGAGACUCACAAACUGUUGAAAGAAUAAAUGAAUGAAUGAAUUCUGUUCAUGAGCUUUAAUAAAACAGCUCUGAGUAGUAACAGUGGAUCAAAUUUAGGCUUCUUGAUGCAGGCAUGGUGUAGAUUACUACUUCUGUAUUGUCCCAGGAGCUCAGCACAUUCCUGCAGAGAUGAUAGGAGCUCAUCUGAUACUUGUCAGCUUUGAAUAAACUCCAGUCCCCAAGAGAGAGAAUGAGAAUCACCGGAAUACGAAACUUCCCUGUUGGACUUCCCAACAUUCUUGAAUGCACCAAGAUAGCCUCUUGCUGUGAGAUUAAUAAAUGAA
Molecule: long non-coding RNA, 569 nt
Filed under: Homo sapiens (human)
Lineage: Eukaryota; Metazoa; Chordata; Mammalia; Primates; Hominidae
Description: HSALNT0310173
Source: RNAcentral